AGCGCCAAAAUAAUAUUGACGAAUAAGGCUUUAAUUAUUAAUUCGAAAAUUUUAACAGCAUGCUUUGGCGUUUUUGUUUAUAUCUUGUGGAGAAAAUUUAUUUCGUUAUUUGUCAGAGAUAGUGUCAGCUGCUGUUUCUACUGUGUAACCAGUGUGAAGCGGAAACAAAAACUUUAAAAUGGAUGGACCAGCACUCGGACGUUAGAACUGGCAGCUAGCAGGUUUGCCGGAGCAGCAUUUCACUUUGUCCCUUCAGUGAUAAUUCGAAUUUGAUACAGUUACUGAUAAGUAACUAAUUGCUGGGCCCUCGAAUUGGAAGAAGAGGAAUAAUAAGAAUUACUUCGCUACAAAUUGUCCACCCUGCCUGUGAAGGAUAUCCAGGAACUGCUUAGAGCCCUCCCAACCUUCGAAGAAUGUGGCUGAAGCUGAUGCCAUCAAUUUAGACCCUAAAAUGAGACGCAUGUCAAAUUACCGUGUUGAAACACCUGUCCUCGCAAACCAACUGGUACUACUGGUAGGUGCCAGAUAUCCGAAGGGCUCAACAGAAUGUAACUAAGGAAAUUUUACUAUUUUCGACAAUGCCCGACCCUGUCUUCGAAUUACUUUUUUUUUUAUCCCGAUUGCGGUCGUGAGGAACUUUCACUUCCGCACCUAUACCUGCUGCCGCGUAUCGGGGCUGAAUCAUCUAAAGU
This is a long non-coding RNA of Uranotaenia lowii, 692 nucleotides long. RefSeq lists it as uncharacterized. NCBI's taxonomy places the organism in Eukaryota, Metazoa, Arthropoda, Insecta, Diptera, Culicidae. The transcript has 3 exons. The record is from RefSeq and is a predicted model, not a curated record.